GCUUCGUAGGCGCGCGAAUACGUCGUGAGAAAGGAUUUCCUUCUCCUUUUUUUCCGUCCUCUCGUGAAAGUAGCGAAGCGUUUCGUAACUAACUAAUCUUGUGCACGAACCCAAAUUUUAUUUCGUCACGCGAAACAACGCGCCGUUAUUCGCUCGUACAGAUAAUCAUUUUACUAUUCUAUCUAUUACGAAAGUUAUAAUUCAGAUCUUUACUCUUUUCUAUUUUUCUUUUCGAGAAGAAUCACCAUGACGUCCAGGUGAUUGUCCGGACGAGUAAAAUACUCGAAAGCCAUCAAGCCGGGAAAAUGUCAAGGUUGGGGAUCGCUUGCUCGAAACACGUUUACCGAGUGUAUUUACGUUCUUAUAUUCCGGACUGGUUAACCGCUGGCUAUCAAGUGCCUACGUUCCACUUUUACCGCGUUCCUUCUGUCAACCGUUGUUACGCCUCUGAGCCGCAAUUACGUCCGACAGCGACAAAGCAGUGACUUUAAUGAAUGGAAGUCAUAUAAUAAUUUUCUUGCGACGGAAUAUUUAUACGCAACAUGAAGGUUUUGAAAAUUGGAUUUUUGUCAAGAUUGCAAGAAUGUAAGGUGCCGAUUUAUACCUUCAACUAAUAUUUAUAUCGCGGCAAUAGGAUAUUUAUGGUGUACUUAUGGAGAGCCGCAGAUAGCAUAGAAGAUACGGACGGGAGAAAUCCCAUAAGAGAGAAUUGAGAAAGCGAGGAACACACGGUUGUGGUAUUCCAAUACGUUUGGACAUGUGAGCGCGCGCAAACAAGCGUUCGAGCCGAAUUUUUACACUUCGAAACGUAUAAAAAUACGAGACAGAGCCGCGCCGGCGAGCUUAAUCAAUUUUCAGGCAUUAGCAUAUUUUGAAAUUCAUCUUACAAGUUGCCGUGUUUCCACACGAAUAGAAAUCUACGAUAUUAAAAUUAUAUUCAUAUCGACAUCCUGUUAUCGAAAUCUGCCAUCAACAGAUAGCGAAUAAAAUCGGCGCAUAUUUUACGCAAAAUAGUAAUUUCAAUUGCGCAGACGAGGACAAAAAAGGUUUAGGCGGCUGUCACGUUGUAUAAUGCACCGUUAUCGAAUUGUCAAGUCGAACAUGUAUCGAUACGUUUGCGCGAAGAAUUUCUGAGUGCCGCGAGAACUCUUUAUUCCAGACGCGCGACUGCGCUCGCAUUGAUUAUGCGUCGGAAUUGCACAAGUUUUCGCGAAGAGCAGCAAUGUGGAAUACAGUCAAGGUUCUUUAAAUAUCAAGGGGCAACAUUUCUCGGCAAUAAGUUUAAAUUGUUAUUUCAUUGCUGAUCUUAACAUUGAAACUCAGACGUGAGCGAGCGUGAUGAGAGAGAUUGCACGACGCGCGAACACAACGCGUAGGUCCGAAGGUAUUAAAAAUGGUGUACAAAUGCCGGCGAGAGAAAGUAGCGCCUCUGCGAAGGCUCUUCCCAUCUUGUAAUCGUUAUGUAUAGGACAUUUUCUGCGUGUUUGUUUCUUUCGCCCGUAAUAUACUGUAAUGAAAUUGAGAUUAACGCCCGUUUGUCCACGAGCUGGUCCUUUUCUCAAAAGAUCACUCGCUGCUAAUCAACGACUCCGUUUAGCUAAAUCUCGUGAGAAACGAUGAGGUAAGAUAAUUACACUUGCGCGAUGGCGCCCGAUGUAAACCGCAGACGAGUUAUUACCGGCGCAAGAUUGGCCGAGAAUUACGCGUGAAGACAUCCGAUACGCAUAACUCAAUCGCUCGGCGAUUAAAGUCCUGUAAUGCUCGUAAAAUCGCUCGACCUCGCUUUCGCCGGACUUCCUGCCGCGAAUGACGGAUAUCUGCAUUUUAAAGAUGAUUUAAAAGCAAUAAGAAUCCGCUCGGCGAAGCUGGCGAAUUUCUAAUCUGCGAAGUCGGAUUGUGGAUGAAGUUUGGGAACUCCUUUCUCUUCCUUUCGAUUCGUCUUACGAUUCUCGAUGAAUAAUCAAUUAGGAAAUGUAAUUCCGCGGACGGCCAACCGAACGCAUAUUUGCAGACAAGACGACGGCAUGCAGAAGCGAGAUGACGACCGCAGCUUGAGAGAGGUGCCUCGUUCACGCGGAUGUCAAACAGAUCAGUUUAGCGGUAAAGUGGAAAGUGAAGGUACGCAGCAGCGCGCGUUGGCAAUGACGUUGGACGCUCGUGUGGUGUUCUUUCUCAGGUGCAACAUUUCCUUCUAUUGCCCGGACGCACGCACACGUGUAUGCAUUCCCAUUCGCGCAUUCGUACACCAUAUGCGCGUAAAACAAAGCUUAUGUAAACGCGAGUGAAACCGCCGAUGUGCCAAAUCCGACGUGUCAGUGUUAUCGCUCAUUCGGAUUUCCUACAUUCUCGUUUCACUGUAAAUCGAUCCAAAUUUUUUGUAGUGCCAAAUAGCGAGCAUAUUCGAAUAUAUUUUUUUUUCAAUUGAAGGCUUUGUUCGAUCUGCGGAUCAAUUAAUUAGACGAGAAUUCUUCAAUUAAACAAGCAUCAUUCGCGCAAUGAAUUUAUUUCUGUCACAUGUAUAUAGAAUAUGAGAGCGAUCUGAUGACAAUACAAUUAUAUAUUCGAUUUUAUCGAUUAGACAUCCUUUGGCUCGCCUAUGAUGCUAUCGACAAAAAUACCGGCCACAAAGAAAGAGUCUAGAAAAGGAUUUGCAAACCGGAGAACAUUCCUCAAAGAAUAUCAUCUCACUCAAAGGGGGAAAAAAAAAAAAAAAUUAACGUCAAUGGCGACCUGCUAGAACUGGUCAGGCGUAGUUCCGAGAUAGAGCGAGAUCGCAGAAACCAGACGAUCGAGUCAGUGUGUACUUUAGGAAUUCAAUGUUAGAGAAUGAUCGGAACUUUGCACCGCUUUGGAAAGCUGAACUAACGUAAAGAUCACUACUGGCACUUAAUCGAAGCGAUAUGCGAGUGGCGAAAAAAGUUCGGUCGAAUCUUUUAGAACAGGAACGUCGGCGGGGAGAAAGGCGAUCGACAAAGUGAGUAACGGAGAGCGCGCGUACCUGCGACGACGGUCAGGACGACGCAGAGGAGCGCCGCUUCCUGGAGCUUCAUCGUUCUCGCGCGUGUGCGUCCCGGCGACAGUUCAGAGGGCCGACAGUCGCGUGUGCGGGAUCCCGAUUCACGUGCCUCGACGCCCUCGUUCAGCUCGUGCGAUCACCGUAGCCACGGCGAUGUAUCAUCCGACCGAUCCAACGGGCUGAUCCGCUGUCGCGACACUGCCGGGGAUACGCCGCCGCCACCGGCGCGGCACUUCUCGGGAACUCGGCCGACCGGAGGAACCGUUCUCAGCCCAUUGGCUGACCACUUUCUAUCGGCGGCGGCGGCAACCGCCGAGAAAAGCUGUCUCUCAUAUCGGACACGACACGUCGCAGCGUGAGAUUCGCGUCUCGCUCGCGGGCAAACUUGCCUUCGAGCCUCUCUGCUCGUUUCGCUUUCAAAACAGGGCCGGAUCGGUAUUGCCCCGUGGCUAUGCUUUUUUUUUCCUCUUGUCGCUGGGAAUCGCAAAACACUUUGUACAAUGCACAAGUUAUGCUGAGAUAUUUUUGGAAACUGGAAUAAGAGAACAUUAAGUUCUUGCACGGCAAUUGUUUCCAUUUAGAAACGCAAUUGUGUAAAUGAGUUUUAUUUAAUACUGAAAAAAGGCCCUCUCGAAACUCGAUAUGUAUAAGAAUCUUUGCAUGCUGCAACAGUAUUACUAAAUAUAAAUGUGCGCACUAGAUUCGCACAAUCUUAAUUAUUCUAAUAUCAAUUAUGCUAUUAUAUAGACAUUAAUAAAAUAUUUUUAGACUUCUCUCUCGAAA
Molecule: non-coding RNA, 3799 nt
Organism: Linepithema humile (Argentine ant)
Lineage: Eukaryota; Metazoa; Arthropoda; Insecta; Hymenoptera; Formicidae
Source: RefSeq, a predicted model, not a curated record